GGCUUGUUGGUGUAGUUGGUUAGUCUCCUUCCUUCAAACGAAUCAUAAGCUUUCAUCUAACAAAUAUCAGGUUAUCACGCUUGUCUAACACUUGCAAUAUUGUAAUGUCAGACCACAAGAGGUCGCCAGAUCGAGCCUGGCACAAGUCA
RNAcentral lists this transfer RNA (149 nucleotides) under Talaromyces rugulosus. RNAcentral describes it as "tRNA-Val". Lineage: Eukaryota; Fungi; Ascomycota; Eurotiomycetes; Eurotiales; Trichocomaceae. The record is from RNAcentral.